UACGUAGGUGGCAAGCGUUGUCCGGAAUUAUUGGGCGUAAAGGGUGCGUAGGCGGUCUAGAAAGUCUGAUUUGAAAGCCCAUGGCUUAACCAUGGAAUGCGAUUGGAAACUAAUAGACUUGAGUGCAGGAGAGGAAGGUGGAAUUCCACGUGUAGCGGUGAAAUGCGUAGAGAUGUGGAGGAACACCGGUGGCGAAGGCGGCCUUCUGGCCUGCAACUGACGCUGAUGCACGAAAGCGUGGGUAGCAAAC
RNAcentral lists this ribosomal RNA (250 nucleotides) under uncultured bacterium. RNAcentral's name for it is "partial 16S ribosomal RNA". It matches the Rfam family "Bacterial small subunit ribosomal RNA", at positions 524 to 773 of the family's 1533-position model. The record is from RNAcentral.